This 637-nucleotide unclassified non-coding RNA is filed under the name Hevea brasiliensis (rubber tree). Lineage: Eukaryota; Viridiplantae; Streptophyta; Magnoliopsida; Malpighiales; Euphorbiaceae. The record is from RNAcentral.
ACCAAAAGCACCAACAUAUAGGCCUACACUUCAACCAAAAGGUUAUACCAUCAAUAAUAUUAAUUUCCCAACAGGUUAUACCAUCAACAAUAUUAAUUUCCUAUCAAAUAAAUCAAGAAUGCCCCCCAUGCAUAGGGGUGUAAAUGAGAUGAGCCGAGCCGAGCUUUGAAUAAUUCAAACUCGACUCGUUAUAUUUUUUUUCAAGCUCAAGCUUGGCUCGAGCUUUAACAUUCAAGUACUAAGCUCAAGCUCGAUUCGAGCUCGGCUCGUAUCAAACUCAUUUAUAAUAUAAACGAAUCAAAUUCGAACUCCGCUCAUUUAUAAUAUAAAUAAGUUAAACUCAAGCUCGAAUUCGAGCUCGACUUAAGCUCGUUAAUAUUAUUAUAUUAAAAUAAAAUUUAAUUUAAAUAAAAAUAAACUAAAAAUUAAAUUAAUUAUAAUUAAAAAUAUAUUUAAUCUUAAUUAAAAUAAAUUUAAAAUUGAAAAAAAGUACUAAGGAGCUCAUUUGGGCCCCACAUGUUGGCUUGCUUGCCAACCAACAAAAAGCAUUUAAGUUGGAGGGGAGUGGCUUCCCUUUUAUAAGGAAGCCACAACUCCCCCCACCCCUUUCUAUCCAAUGUCGAACAAGUCCCACAUU